This 464-nucleotide ribosomal RNA is filed under the name uncultured bacterium. Its description in RNAcentral is "partial 16S ribosomal RNA". It matches the Rfam family "Bacterial small subunit ribosomal RNA", at positions 28 to 507 of the family's 1533-position model. The record is from RNAcentral.
GACGAACGCUGGCGGCGUGCUUAACACAUGCAAGUCGAACGGAAAGGCCCUGCUUGCAGGGUACUCGAGUGGCGAACGGGUGAGUAACACGUGGGUGAUCUGCCCUGCACUUCGGGAUAAGCCUGGGAAACUGGGUCUAAUACCGGAUAGGUGCCAUUUUUAGUGUGAUGGUUGGAAAGUUUUUUCGGUGUAGGAUGAGCUCGCGGCCUAUCAGCUUGUUGGUGGGGUAAUGGCCUACCAAGGCGGCGACGGGUAGCCGGCCUGAGAGGGUGGACGGCCACAUUGGGACUGAGAUACGGCCCAGACUCCUACGGGAGGCAGCAGUGGGGAAUAUUGCACAAUGGGCGCAAGCCUGAUGCAGCGACGCCGCGUGGGGGAUGACGGCCUUCGGGUUGUAAACUCCUUUCGCUAGGGACGAAGCUUUUGUGACGGUACCUAGAUAAGAAGCACCGGCUAACUACGUG